This 198-nucleotide ribosomal RNA is filed under the name uncultured bacterium. RNAcentral's name for it is "partial 16S ribosomal RNA". It matches the Rfam family "Bacterial small subunit ribosomal RNA", at positions 328 to 539 of the family's 1533-position model. The record is from RNAcentral.
ACGCUCGACACCUACGUGAGGCAGCAGUGGGGAAUAUUGCACAAUGGGGGAAACCCUGAUGCAGCGACGCCGCGUGGAGGGAGAAGGUCUUCGGAUUGUAAACUCCUGUUGUUGGGGAAAAAGAGGAUGGUACCCAACAAGGAAGUGACGGCUAACUACGUGCCANCAGCCGCGGUAAUCUGAGCGGGCUGGCAAGGC